This 431-nucleotide unclassified non-coding RNA is filed under the name plant metagenome. RNAcentral describes it as "partial contains 5.8S ribosomal RNA, internal transcribed spacer 2, and large subunit ribosomal RNA". The stretch from base 1 to 102 matches the Rfam family "5.8S ribosomal RNA", at positions 50 to 154 of the family's 154-position model. The record is from RNAcentral.
AAACUGCGAUAAGUAGUGUGAAUUGCAUUUAGUGAAUCAUCGAAUCUUUGAACGCACCCUGCACUCACUGGUAUUCCGGUGAGUACGCCUGUUUCAGUAUCAUUGAAAACACACAAUCAAAACAUUUUCUUUGGUUUGAUUGGCUUUGGGUCUAUCAAAAAGUUUGGCUUGUUUCUUACAAGCCAAGCGGCCUGAAAUAUAUUGUCUGGCUAAUUGCAUCGUUGAUGAUCGCUAUUAGACCUUGGCUUUUUUAAAUGAACUGGAGGUUGAUUAACCAGUUUUAGCUUUAGUCAAAUGGUCAUUGUAAAAAAAAUCUCGAUCUUGGCUAGGUGUUUAUAGCCGAAAAUUUUUUUUUGGCUAUAACCGAAACCAAUAUAAUCACAUUUAGUUAUCGAUCUGAAAUCAGGUGGGACUACCCGCUGAACUUAAGC